This 177-nucleotide ribosomal RNA is filed under the name Triticum aestivum (bread wheat). RNAcentral's name for it is "partial small subunit ribosomal RNA". The record is from RNAcentral. Lineage: Eukaryota; Viridiplantae; Streptophyta; Magnoliopsida; Poales; Poaceae.
AUGGCUUCCUUCACUAUGCUUGUGUUCUGGAUUGUUUGGAAUGAGAUAAAUGCUAGAGUGUUUAGAAAGAAGUCCACGCCUCCGUUCUACAUUUUCAAGCUCAUCUAGGACGAGGCCAAACUAUGGAUCGCUGCUGCAGGGGCUAGGCAUCUAAGUGGCAUCAUGCCGCGAGAGUAG